AGUGAACGCUAGCGGUGCGCCUAACACGUGCAAGUCGAGUGUGCUCGCAAGAGUAACACGGCAGACGGCUGCGUAACACGUUGGUACCUGCCCCGAACUCAGGGAUAACCCGCCGAAAGGCGGGCUAAUACCGGAUAGUCCCGAAAGGGUAAAGAUUUUUCGGUUCGGGAGGGGCCUGCGGCCUAUCAGAUAGUUGGUGAGGUAACGGCUCACCAAGGCGACGAUCGAUAGGUGGUCUGAGAGGAUGAUCACCCAGACUGGGACUGAGACACGGCCCAGACUCCUACGGGAGGCAGCAGUCGGGAAUUUUGCUCAAUGGGCGAAAGCCUGAAGCAGCAACGCCGCGUGAGGGAUGAAGGCCUUCGGGUUGUAAACCUCUUUUCUCAGGGACGAUAAUGACGGUACCUGAGGAAUAAGCCACGGCUAACUACGUGCCAGCCGCCGCAGUAA
This 450-nucleotide ribosomal RNA is filed under the name uncultured bacterium. RNAcentral's name for it is "partial 16S ribosomal RNA". It matches the Rfam family "Bacterial small subunit ribosomal RNA", at positions 29 to 523 of the family's 1533-position model. The record is from RNAcentral.